Cannabis sativa is the source of this 1291-nucleotide long non-coding RNA. RefSeq lists it as uncharacterized. NCBI's taxonomy places the organism in Eukaryota, Viridiplantae, Streptophyta, Magnoliopsida, Rosales, Cannabaceae. The record is from RefSeq and is a predicted model, not a curated record. The transcript has 3 exons.
GAAUCAUACUUAAUUUUAGUUAACUUAUCAAUUCAUCAACAUGUUAUAAACAAGUUUAACAUAUUUACAAUCUUGUUAUGAGACAAUUAUGAGCAAUUUAACAUGUUUAUAUCCUACUUAACUGAAAGAUAUAAUUUACAUGUAAUAAAUAUAAUAAAUUUAAGAGUGUAUUCUUAUAUAGGUCAUUAUCAUGUUAUUUUCGGGUUAUGAGUGUCAACUCGAAAAUUACCAUGUUUCAUAAACGAGUUACUUGUGUCAACCUGAAAAGUGACCCAAACUCAUUUAAGCAAACUCAAAUCUGUUUAUUUAGUGCAAGUUUCGCGUAGUAUUAUUGUGUCUGACCCAGAUUGCCACCCCUAGACAUUUGGAUCUAUUAUAUGGAUGUUAAACAUUUUCAUUGUGUUAUUUUUUGUUAUUUUUAUCUUCAAUAAUAGUGUUACAACACACUACUACAAUUAGGGGUGAGCAUGGGUUGGAAAUGGGCCGACCAAACCCGAAAUGGGCCGAAACAUGGUCACAUUUAGUGGGCCGAACCUCACAUGGGUUGAAAAGAGCCCAACCCGCACUGAAUGGGUUGAUCAUCGGGCUGAGGGUUUUUCAACCCAAUCAACCCAAACUGGGCCGAGCAGCCCAACUAAAAAUAAUAAAAAAAAAAUAUUUAAUAUAUAUAUAAUAUUUAACCUACAUCUAAAAUACAAACCCUAAACCUAAUACAACAACAUAACCCUUCCUCUCUCUAGUUUCUCCUUUCUUUCUCCAACUCCAAACACAGCCGCCCGUCAAUCAACCAUUUUUUUUGUUUUGAAAAAUAAAAACUCAAACCUCCAUAGCUAUGUUCUCUCUUACUCAGUCACUCACACGCUCAUCUCCCUGCCCCAUCGUCGUCAUCGAGGCUCCAAUUCCAACAAUGUUCUCCCACCCUAGCCGCACCAGUCCCACCAUUCAAAUCUCCAACUGCGCCAGCCACCCGCACCAGGAACCACCACCGUUCAACUCUCCACAUGCCAGCCGCACCUACUAAGUUUACAACUUUCGGCUAGGCAUUGGAGUUUCUUAUUCUCAGGUGUCGGAGUUUGUUGUUUUUGGUGACCAUAAACUCAGGCAAUAAAGAAAAGAUCAAAGCAUCACCAAAAGUGAAGAAUAUUGUCAUUCUUAAUUGAUGUUGAACAUUGAUUUUUUUUUUAAGUUGGUAAUUAUUUUGGACAAUUUAAUUAAUUUUAAUACUUAUUUUGAAUUUGGAUGAUUGUAAUAAUUAUUAUUUAUUUUUGAUUAUUUUAUGAUUUUACCUUAA